CAGCAGCCGCGGGAACACGGAGGGUGCAAGCGUUAUCCGGAUUUAUUGGGUUUAAAGGGUCCGUAGGCGGACUUAUAAGUCAGUGGUGAAAGCCUGUCGCUUAACGAUAGAACUGCCAUUGAUACUGUAAGUCUUGAGUAUAUUUGAGGUAGCUGGAAUAAGUAGUGUAGCGGUGAAAUGCAUAGAUAUUACUUAGAACACCAAUUGCGAAGGCAGGUUACCAAGAUAUAACUGACGCUGAGGGACGAAAGCGUGGGUAGCGAACAGGAUUAGAUACCCCUGUAGUCCCUGUCUCUUAUAC
This 301-nucleotide ribosomal RNA is filed under the name uncultured bacterium. Its description in RNAcentral is "partial 16S ribosomal RNA". It matches the Rfam family "Bacterial small subunit ribosomal RNA", at positions 509 to 807 of the family's 1533-position model. The record is from RNAcentral.